Molecule: ribosomal RNA, 750 nt
Filed under: Actinomycetes bacterium
Lineage: Bacteria; Bacillati; Actinomycetota; Actinomycetes
Description: bacterial SSU rRNA
Rfam family: Bacterial small subunit ribosomal RNA
Source: RNAcentral
GCCCCUGACUCUGGGAUAAGCGCUGGAAACGGCGUCUAAUACCGGAUAUGAGCUGCGAUCGCAUGGUCAGCAGUUGGAAAGAUUUUUCGGUCUGGGAUGGGCUCACGGCCUAUCAGCUUGUUGGUGAGGUAAUGGCUCACCAAGGCGUCGACGGGUAGCCGGCCUGAGAGGGUGACCGGCCACACUGGGACUGAGACACGGCCCAGACUCCUACGGGAGGCAGCAGUGGGGAAUAUUGCACAAUGGGCGAAAGCCUGAUGCAGCAACGCCGCGUGAGGGAUGACGGCCUUCGGGUUGUAAACCUCUUUUAGCAGGGAAGAAGCGAAAGUGACGGUACCUGCAGAAAAAGCGCCGGCUAACUACGUGCCAGCAGCCGCGGUAAUACGUAGGGCGCAAGCGUUAUCCGGAAUUAUUGGGCGUAAAGAGCUCGUAGGCGGUUUGUCGCGUCUGCUGUGAAAUCCCGAGGCUCAACCUCGGGUCUGCAGUGGGUACGGGCAGACUAGAGUGCGGUAGGGGAGAUUGGAAUUCCUGGUGUAGCGGUGGAAUGCGCAGAUAUCAGGAGGAACACCGAUGGCGAAGGCAGAUCUCUGGGCCGUUACUGACGCUGAGGAGCGAAAGGGUGGGGAGCAAACAGGCUUAGAUACCCUGGUAGUCCACCCCGUAAACGUUGGGAACUAGUUGUGGGGUCCAUUCCACGGAUUCCGUGACGCAGCUAACGCAUUAAGUUCCCCGCCUGGGGAGUACGGCCGC